CUCCCGCCGGCCACCGCCGCGCGCCCCACGAGCCGGGCGCCGCCCGCGCGCCGCGAGGCCUCGCCCGCCCCCGGCCCGAGCUCACUGGAGAGAGAGAGAUAGAGUAGCGACGGCGAGAGCGGAGGAGCGCAGUCCACGGCGGCGGCGCGCGCGCGCUCGAGCGCGGCGGCGAGCAGCGGGGUUCGCCGGAGCGGAGCAGAAGCCAUGGCGCGGAGCGGACCUCCAGCGCGGCGGAGACGGCGGCCAUGGCCGGCUCGGGACGGCGCGUCCCUCCCCCCUCCCUAGCCGGUGCGGCCCUCCUCCCUCCCCCUUCCUUUGCCGGCGCGAGCGGCGGAGACGGCGGCCGGCCGCUGCCCUUCCCUCCCGCAGCCGCCACCCACUCCCUCCGCGGCUCUUCCACUCCCCUCUCCCGCAACCGCGCAGCUUGGCCCAGAGCCUGUUAGUCCCUUCGUCGACGCCGCCGGCAAAGUUCGCGAUAUAUCCAUUCAGCGCAGCCGCCUCCGCUUCCAGACUUCUCCCGUCACCCACUUCCACUCCCAGCUCCUCCUCUCCGUCCAAAUCGUCGCCGCCGCUCGCGGCCGCGGCCACCGCGCGCUGCUACUCCUGCUGCAAGUCGCGUCUUCGCGGGCCAGAGCACCUCGGCGAACCGCCGCAUUGCUGGCCACGCCGCGCGCUCUGGAGCCGUGCAUUCCGCCGCCGGCGCCAUCACCCCCAAAAAUCCUGCUGCCUCUCCACCUACUAAACCUACACAACCUGUCUAAAUCCCAACGAGAUUCCUGCUUCUCGACUAACUAGAAGACAAAUCGAGAUCUUCAGCAGAAAGGUCACAGAGAUGCUCUGGUGGUUGGGGCUAAAGCUCUGAAAGUGACGGCACUGAACCUGCACCCACACAAAGCGACAGCGCUGACAGAGAUGCUGGAGUGGUGCCGCUGAGGUGAAUAAAGGAACAUCUUGGCACCGCAUCAUGCUAAGCUUAUCACCAUUAAGGAAGCCGAAACCCUCAUUUCCACAUCAGAAAUCAGUGAUGCCCAGAAACAACAUUUAUAUUGGCUCAGCCCUGCUAAGUUGCACCUUUACCUCGCUUCUUUAGCCAUCAGGAAUUGAAGCUGCCUCCAGUGUUUUGCCAAGCACCCAAAUGCUGCUAUAACCUAUGUAGGUUACUAUCACCGAAGAAGCAAUCUAUUAGUAGACUGUAAUAUUAUGCUCUUUCUAUUCCUCACACAUCCAGAAUGCCCAGCAUAGAUAAACUAAUGUAGAGGUUUGAUUCUUUUCAAAAAAUAUGCUUUGCCUUAUAUUUGACCUGCUCUUCCUGUUACCUUUACAGACAAUAAAUCUACUUUGCCAUUCUUA
Molecule: long non-coding RNA, 1350 nt
Organism: Panicum virgatum (switchgrass)
Lineage: Eukaryota; Viridiplantae; Streptophyta; Magnoliopsida; Poales; Poaceae
Exons: 4
Source: RefSeq, a predicted model, not a curated record